GUUGCUACUGUGGUCGUGGGGACAUACCCUCUUCGACUACUAUCAGGGAUUAUUUUGAUCUUGAGAGGCUGUUAUUUAUCUCUUGCUUAACGUAAGAUGAUUAUGUAAUAAGUUUUUAUAAGGACCACUACAAUGGUUUUCUUGGAAAUAAUAAAAUUGAAAGUAGUUUUCUUAUUAAUGGUCUCUUUCAGUUAUAUGUUGAUGUUUUUGUGAAUUGUAUCGAGCAAA
Molecule: long non-coding RNA, 228 nt
Filed under: Elaeis guineensis (African oil palm)
Lineage: Eukaryota; Viridiplantae; Streptophyta; Magnoliopsida; Arecales; Arecaceae
Description: long non-coding RNA (EGUI_LNC012131)
Source: RNAcentral